CCUACGGGAGGCAGCAGUGAGGAAUAUUGGUCAAUGGCCGGAAGGCUGAACCAGCCAAGCCGCGUGAAGGACGAAGGUGCCAAGCAUUGUAAACUUCUUUUCUCAGGGACGAAGAAAGUGACGGUACCUGAGGAAUAAGCCACGGCUAACUACGUGCGAGCAGCCGCGGUAAUACGUAGGUGGCAAGCGUUAUCCGGAUUUAUUGGGUGUAAAGGGCGUGUAGGCGGGAGCGCAAGUCAGAUGUGAAAACUCAGGGCUCAACCCUGAGCCUGCAUUUGAAACUGUGUUUCUUGAGUGCUGGAGAGGCAAUCGGAAUGCCGUGUGUAGCGGUGAAAUGCGUAGAUAUACGGAGGAACACCAGUGGCGAAGGCGGAUUGCUGGACAGUAACUGAUGCUGAGGCGCGAAAGCGUGGGGAGCAAACAGGAUUAGAUACCCCAGUAGUC
RNAcentral lists this ribosomal RNA (444 nucleotides) under uncultured bacterium. Its description in RNAcentral is "partial 16S ribosomal RNA". It matches the Rfam family "Bacterial small subunit ribosomal RNA", at positions 338 to 795 of the family's 1533-position model. The record is from RNAcentral.